Anopheles nili is the source of this 1505-nucleotide long non-coding RNA. RefSeq lists it as uncharacterized. The record is from RefSeq and is a predicted model, not a curated record. The transcript has 2 exons. Lineage: Eukaryota; Metazoa; Arthropoda; Insecta; Diptera; Culicidae.
AUCCUUAUGCGUUUAUUCCACAUCAUGUCCUCCCUAGUCCUAGUCCACUCGAUCCUUUUCCUCUAUCUCACUCACUCUUGUUUACUGUACCUUGCCACGAUCGCCUUAUCGCGCCCGCGAUCCCCACGACGAGGGUGGCGAGCGUAGGUCUCAUUUGCCAUUUGCCGGACGCGAGCGAGUAUUGGUUGCACUCUCUGGGAGAACGCCCCCAUGACGCCAUAUAAUUGUUCAUCAUCCCCCAAAUCAAGAAACAAACUCGUCAGGCUUGGGAACAAAAACUAAAGCUAAAAUCAAAGCUCUAAAACAAACAAAAAAUCAAUCCAAAAUCUUUCCCAUCAAGAAUUCCGAGAAACAGGUCCCGGUGAAACUGAUUUUUAAUGCGGUACAUCGGACACAGGAUGCGCCAGCCCAUAAUGUAUCGAUAGUGCUUAGUUGAUCUUCUAGAGAAUGCUGUUUCUUUUUUACAAUACGUUUGAUUUUUUUAUACGUGUACGAUAUUCUCGGUUUUUCUCUCCUUUAAAUAUUUACCACUUGAAUGGUACCAUGUUAAUGUCGGCAAACAGCUUUUUUAUCCACUAUAAAUGAUGAAACAAGUCCCAAAUUUUAUUACUAGUGCAACCUGUAUGCUUCGGAUUUUGUACGAUUAUUUUGUUUUUUUUUUCGUUUCGUAGAACGCCCAUCCAAUGGAUAAAACUGCUCUGAUGUUACAUAGCAUUUUCUAAUAUUAUAUCAAUAAACCCACAUAAUCGAGUAAGUGAAUUUGUGCUGGCAAAAAAAACAUGCUAGCAAACCAGAAUCAGAGACGUAAGCCUCCGUAUAAUCAAAAGCUUUUUAUUUGAGCCACCCCAUUUGAUACGAAUGUGGGUUUUGAAAAGGACUCUUGAUUUUGGCCAAUCCGCUUUUAAAUUUUGCAACUAUUUUGUUGUUGUUGCAUUGCCCUAAACUAGCGCUAGAACCCUACACAAGCUGAUCGUAGACGAUGCCGCACAUAUUUGUUUUUGCUUCGUUUUAUCAAAAAAUGUAACCGUGAGCCUGUUUCUCAAGCUAUCUUGAAGUGUAUGAGGUUUUGAUUGAUUUACAAUAAGUUGGUAACUGGAGGAGCUUUUGAACAAAAUUGAUGUGUGUUUUCUAUGGAGAAGUACCAUACCGCAGCGCGGGACUAGCGAGCUGACAGAAGCAAAUGAUCAUCGAACAAAUGAUAACGCAAGCUACGAUGGAAAUGCGCGAAUAAUUAACAUUUCGUUCAAACCCCAACUACGGGAGGUACGGCAAUCAGACCGAAUUAACUCCCCUUGGAGAUUGUCCCAAAACGAAUGAAAAAAAAAUCUUGAAGAUAACGAUAUUAUUGAUUCGAGAGUGAUAAAUUCUCAAGAGUAUGGUUUUGUUUAUCAACGCGUGCGCUAAGAAUAAGCAUUGCUUAUGAUCCCUGUAAACAAACACUUAAUAUUGUUUUAUUUUUCGCUAUGAACAAUAAAGGAGAAAAAUGUUAUUAACGAUCAACGUAA